RNAcentral lists this ribosomal RNA (408 nucleotides) under uncultured bacterium. RNAcentral describes it as "partial 16S ribosomal RNA". It matches the Rfam family "Bacterial small subunit ribosomal RNA", at positions 28 to 526 of the family's 1533-position model. The record is from RNAcentral.
GACGAACGCUGGCGGCGUGCUUAACACAUGCAAGUCGAACGAAGUGGCGAACGGGUGAGUGACGAGUAAUCAACCUGCCCUUCAGAGGGGGACGACAGUUGGAAACGACUGCUACUACCGCAUACUGAAGGAGGGGAUUGCGUCUGCUUUGCUAGUUGGAGGGGUCACGGCCCACCAAGGCGAUGAUCAGUAGCCGUGCUGAGAGUAUGAACGGCCACAACGGUAAUGAUACACGUCCCAGACUCCUACGGGAGGCAGCCGUGGGGAAUCUUCCGCGAUGGUCGAAAGUCUGACGGUGCAACGCCGCGGGGUUGAUGACGGUCUUCGGGAUGUAAAGCUCUGUUAAUCUGGACGCGGUACCGUAAUAGAAAGCCACGGCUAACUACGUGCCAGCAGCCGCCGUAAUAC